RNAcentral lists this ribosomal RNA (674 nucleotides) under uncultured Catellicoccus sp. RNAcentral describes it as "bacterial SSU rRNA". It matches the Rfam family "Bacterial small subunit ribosomal RNA", at positions 802 to 1482 of the family's 1533-position model. Lineage: Bacteria; Bacillati; Bacillota; Bacilli; Lactobacillales; Enterococcaceae. The record is from RNAcentral.
GUAAACGAUGAGUGCUAAGUGUUGGAGGGGUUUCCCCNUCAGUGCUGCAGCUAACGCAUUAAGCACUCCGCCUGGGGAGUACGACCGCAAGGUUGAAACUCAAAGGAAUUGACGGGGGCCCGCACAAGCGGUGGAGCAUGUGGUUUAAUUCGAAGCAACGCGAAGAACCUUACCAGGUCUUGACAUCCUCUGACAACCCUAGAGAUAGGGCUUUCCCUUCGGGGACAGAGUGACAGGUGGUGCAUGGUUGUCGUCAGCUCGUGUCGUGAGAUGUUGGGUUAAGUCCCGCAACGAGCGCAACCCUUGUCGUUAGUUGCCAUCAUUCAGUUGGGCACUCUAGCGAGACGUGACAAACCGGAGGAAGGUGGGGAUGACGUCAAAUCAUCAUGCCCCUUAUGACCUGGGCUACACACGUGCUACAAUGGACGGUACAACGAGCAGCGAACUCGCGAGGGCAAGCGAAUCUCUUAAAGCCGUUCUCAGUUCGGAUUGCAGGCUGCAACUCGCCUGCAUGAAGCCGGAAUCGCUAGUAAUCGUGGAUCAGCAUGCCACGGUGAAUACGUUCCCGGGCCUUGUACACACCGCCCGUCACACCACGAGAGUUUGUAACACCCAAAGUCGGUGCGGUAACCUUUUGGAGCCAGCCGCCUAAGGUGGGAUAGAUGAUUGGGGUG